Molecule: ribosomal RNA, 46 nt
Filed under: Inonotus leporinus
Lineage: Eukaryota; Fungi; Basidiomycota; Agaricomycetes; Hymenochaetales; Hymenochaetaceae
Description: partial 28S ribosomal RNA
Source: RNAcentral
UUUGACCCUUUGACCUCAAAUCAAGUAGGACUACCCGCUGAACUUA